AAGUCGUAACAAGGUUUCCGUAGGUGAACCUGCGGAAGGAUCAUCAAUGAAAAAAUCCAGCCAAAACACUUGGGCAUUCUAGCCUGGUUGGUUGUCAUUUUUGACAUCAAGUAGGUCUAAGUUUUUUUAGACCAGGGAAUUGACGGAAAAAAAUUAGACCAGAAAUUGGUCAAGGUAAACUUUCAGGUUCAAGUUUAACUCUUGACCUGAUAUUUACACUAGAAAAAAAACAACUUUCGGCAACGGAUCUCUCGGCUCUCC
RNAcentral lists this unclassified non-coding RNA (261 nucleotides) under fungal sp. RNAcentral's name for it is "partial internal transcribed spacer region". The stretch from base 1 to 46 matches the Rfam family "Eukaryotic small subunit ribosomal RNA", at positions 1786 to 1831 of the family's 1831-position model. Lineage: Eukaryota; Fungi. The record is from RNAcentral.